Molecule: ribosomal RNA, 395 nt
Filed under: uncultured bacterium
Lineage: Bacteria
Description: bacterial SSU rRNA
Rfam family: Bacterial small subunit ribosomal RNA
Source: RNAcentral
GGCCGCGGGAAUUCGAUUCAGGCCUAACACAUGCAAGUCGAGCGGAGAUGAGGUGCUUGCACCUUAUCUUAGCGGCGGACGGGAGAGUAAUGCUUAGGAAUCUGCCUAUUAGUGGGGGACAACAUUCCGAAAGGAAUGCUAAUACCGCAUACGUCCUACGGGAGAAAGCAGGGGAUCUUCGGACCUUGCGCUAAUAGAUGAGCCUAAGUCGGAUUAGCUAGUUGGUGGGGUAAAGGCUUACCAAGGCGACGAUCUGUAGCGGGUCUGAGAGGAUGAUCCGCCACACUGGGACUGAGACACGGCCCAGACUCCUACGGGAGGCAGCAGUGGGGAAUAUUGGACAAUGGGGGGAACCCUGAUCCAGCCAAAGGGCGUGUGUGAAGAAGGCCUUAUGG